GCCAGGCGUGGUGGCGCGUGCCUGGAAUCCCAGCUACUUGGGCUGAUUCAGGAGAAUUGCUUGAACCCAGGAGGCAGAGGUUGCGGUGAGCUGAGAUUGUGCCAUUGCACGCCACCCUGGGCAGCAAGAGCGAAACUCCAUCUCAAAAGAAAAAAAAAAUGGUUCCUUCUCCCAGGAGUUUAGGAGCAGCAGGUUACCUAAGGAGGGGUGAAGGGAGGCCUCCAGGUCGGAAACGGAGCAGGUCAAAACUCCCAUGCUGAUCAGUAGUGGGAUUGUGCCUGUGAAUAACCACUGCUGUCCAGCAUUGGCAACAUAGUGAGACCCUAUCUCU
This 331-nucleotide signal recognition particle RNA is filed under the name Cercocebus atys (sooty mangabey). Its description in RNAcentral is "Metazoan signal recognition particle RNA (ENSCATG00000008757.1)". It matches the Rfam family "Metazoan signal recognition particle RNA". Rfam says of the family: The signal recognition particle (SRP) is a universally conserved ribonucleoprotein. It is involved in the co-translational targeting of proteins to membranes. Lineage: Eukaryota; Metazoa; Chordata; Mammalia; Primates; Cercopithecidae. The record is from RNAcentral.